RNAcentral lists this ribosomal RNA (489 nucleotides) under uncultured Lactobacillus sp. Its description in RNAcentral is "bacterial SSU rRNA". It matches the Rfam family "Bacterial small subunit ribosomal RNA", at positions 62 to 507 of the family's 1533-position model. The record is from RNAcentral. Lineage: Bacteria; Bacillati; Bacillota; Bacilli; Lactobacillales; Lactobacillaceae.
UCGAGCGCACUGGCCCAACUGAUCUGACGUGCUUGCACUGAAGUGACGAUGGAUUACCAGUGAGCGGCGGACGGGUGAGUAACACGUGGGCAACCUGCCCUGAAGCGGGGGAUAACAUUUGAAAACAGGUGCUAAUACCGCAUAACAACGAAAACCACAUGGUUUUCGUUUGAAAGAUGGUUUCGGCUAUCACUUCAGGAUGGACCCGCGGUGCAUUAGCUAGUUGGUAGGGUAACGGCCUACCAAGGCAAUGAUGCAUAGCCGAGUUGAGAGACUGAUCGGCCACAACGGAACUGAGACACGGUCCAUACUCCUACGGGAGGCAGCAGUAGGGAAUCUUCCACAAUGGGCGCAAGCCUGAUGGAGCGACACCGCGUGAGUGAAGAAGGGUUUCGGCUCGUAAAACUCUGUUGUUGAAGAAGAACGUGCGUGAGAGUAACUGUUCACGCAGUGACGGUAUUCAACCAGAAAGUCACGGCUAACUACGUG